RNAcentral lists this unclassified non-coding RNA (311 nucleotides) under Hevea brasiliensis (rubber tree). Lineage: Eukaryota; Viridiplantae; Streptophyta; Magnoliopsida; Malpighiales; Euphorbiaceae. The record is from RNAcentral.
GGCAUUUUGGAUUGAGGCAUUACUAAUGCUUCCCUUUGCAGUUUUAGGUUUAUUUAUGAAACCAUUGCAAUUAAAAGGAUUCUCUCAUAUCGGAUCAAAAAAACCAUUAACUUCUCCUCUGACUGCUUGCCCAGAAGAAGCUGUUUUGAAUUGUAGCAAUGGUUUGUCAUCAACACGGGAAGAUCCCAAGGAUGGUUCGAAAGGUGCUCCUAGCAAUUUGAAUGAGUUGGCAAGAUUUUGGAAGGAUCUGAAAACGCUUCAUCUUGAAAAGACUUAUGUCAUCAAUGUCCUAGGAUACAUAGCAUAUAAUU